GUGCUCGCUUCGGCAAGACAUAUACUAAAAUUAGAACAAUACAGAGAAGAUUAGCAUGGCCCCUGAGCAAGGA
Small nuclear RNA from Prolemur simus (greater bamboo lemur), 73 nucleotides. The record is from Ensembl. NCBI's taxonomy places the organism in Eukaryota, Metazoa, Chordata, Mammalia, Primates, Lemuridae.